UACGUAGGGAGCAAGCGUUAUCCGGAUUUACUGGGUGUAAAGGGCGCGCAAGUUGGAAGUGAAAUCUAUGGGCUUAACCCAUAAACUGCUUUCAAAACUGCUGGUCUUGAGUGAUGGAGAGGCAGGCGGAAUUCCGUGUGUAGCGGUGAAAUGCGUAGAUAUACGGAGGAACACCAGUGGCGAAGGCGGCCUGCUGGACAUUAACUGACGCUGAGGCGCGAAAGCGUGGGGAGCAAACAGG
Molecule: ribosomal RNA, 241 nt
Filed under: uncultured bacterium
Lineage: Bacteria
Description: partial 16S ribosomal RNA
Rfam family: Bacterial small subunit ribosomal RNA
Source: RNAcentral